Molecule: RNA transcript, 899 nt
Organism: Symsagittifera roscoffensis
Lineage: Eukaryota; Metazoa; Xenacoelomorpha; Acoela; Convolutidae
Gene name: lipopolysaccharide-induced tumor necrosis factor-alpha factor homolog
Exons: 4
Source: RefSeq, a predicted model, not a curated record
UAAAAUGAGCUCUGGUGAUCAGCCUCCUCCUGCGUAUUAUCCAGGUUAUCCGUCAGCUCCGAUUUCGGCGCAGCCAGGUACAAACCAGCCACCACCAGGAUACGCGCCACCUCAGUAUGGCGUGGGAUACGACACUAAAGGUGCGGCACCACCCCCUGCUCCUCCAAAUGUGGCCCCAUAUCCGGGCCAAAGUCAGCCUCAUGCUACUACCGUAAAUGUGGCAGUGAUGUCUCCGAACGCUUACGGCGUGAACAGAAGCCUGGGCUCCUACUCUGCACAGGUCAAUUGUCAACACUGUCACGCAUAUGUGAGCACUAAUGUACAUUACGAGACUGGCACCCUGGCAUGGCUGUUGUGUCUGGGUCUGUGUUGUGUGGGCUGUGACCUGGGCUGCUGUCUCAUCCCCUUCUGUGUGGACCAGUGCAAAGAUGCCUACCACACCUGUCCCAACUGCAACGCCUCCAUUGGAACUCACAGCGCACUGUGAGCUUGCAAUCAUUCAAUCAAGCAUACAACCGCAAUCAUGCAGUAAACAACAACAACAGCAAAAAAAGCACGAUCGCUUCUCAACCAACGGCGAGGGCUGGAGACACCGACGAGCUAGGAGGUACGAUGCGUACUUGCAACGAUACAACUAUUAAGCGGACCACCAAAAUCAAAAUUUACCAGAUUUGAUCAGCGAGUUCGGAGGAUGAGAAGAUGAGAAGCAUUACAAAUCUGAAGAACGAUUGGAAACCAAGGACAAAAAUCGUUCUCCGUAUGGUUUUUUCACUUGUUGGUUUCUGAAAAACUCGUGCAAACAUCCGAUAGUGCAAUCAUCGGAAAUCACAGAAAUGUAAUAAUAUGACAUCGCUGUCGCAAAGUUGCGAGUUGAAAUCGUCCAAUAAGUCGGUUUCUAU